RNAcentral lists this ribosomal RNA (497 nucleotides) under uncultured bacterium. RNAcentral's name for it is "partial 16S ribosomal RNA". It matches the Rfam family "Bacterial small subunit ribosomal RNA", at positions 28 to 507 of the family's 1533-position model. The record is from RNAcentral.
GAUGAACGCUGGCGGCGUGCCUAAUACAUGCAAGUCGAGCGAACGGACGAGAAGCUUGCUUCUCUGAUGUUAGCGGCGGACGGGUGAGUAACACGUGGAUAACCUACCUAUAAGACUGGGAUAACUUCGGGAAACCGGAGCUAAUACCGGAUGAUAUUUUGAACCGCAUGGUUCAAAAGUGAAAGACGGUCUUGCUGUCACUUAUAGAUGGAUCCGCGCUGCAUUAGCUAGUUGGUAAGGUAACGGCUUACCAAGGCAACGAUGCAUAGCCGACCUGAGAGGGUGACGGCCACCACUGGAAUUGAACCACGGCCAAGACCCCGCGGGGAGCAACAGUGAGGGAACUUUCCGGAGGGGGCGAAGGCCGAACGAACCACCCCGGGGGGGGGAAUAAGGUUCUUAGUACCGUAAAACUUUUUUAUGAGGAAAAAAAAUAGGUGUAAGUAACUGUGCACCUCUUGAGGUAACCUAAUAAGAAACCCACGGCUAACUCCGUC